UGCAACUGUAAAUUCAAAUUUCAUAUGUUUGUGUGCAAUAAUCGAUGACAAGUAUUUUUUUGUUUGCCCAAAAUUCCACUUGCUGAAGUUCUUUGUAUAUUCCAAAGUCAGUUAGUUAUCAUCUUUAUUCGUCGGCUUUUAUUUUCACAACUUUUUGGCCUGUAUUUUAAUUCAGUUUCUCAUUUCGUAUGUUAAGGUAAGAAAUACUGACGAAAAGCUUAUGCUUAUUUGAAAAGAAUUCGUUGAAAUAAUAAUUGAUAUGACACUUGGUACAUUCGCUAUUUAGGCUUAAACUUUUCAUAGCUUUGAUCAACACUACAACCAGCUAGCCCCUUUAUGUUUUGAAACCCCUUUCUUAGAGAGAUUUGCUCAAAGUGGACAUUGGGAGCGCCCAUAUGAGUUUCAGCUUGAUGUGUGCAGCAUUCUAAACAUACUUUCAAGUCUGGAUAUAGACAUAUCCUUAAGGGCAAGCUGCUUCUUGUGCUCAAUGUUUAUACCGACAGUGUAUUAAUAACAUGAUACUUAAUUUUUUAAAGGUUUCAAGAAAAUGAAUCGUAGGAUAAGGGCAUUUGAAAAUUUUUCCAACACUAAGAAGAUUGAAACGAUUUUAAAAGAAAACGGUUACGCGGUUAUUAAAGAUAAGCAUCUAUCAGCAAUGCAGAAUUCUCCAUUAGUUAUCUACUUGAUCAAGUUUUAAUGCUCACGAUUUGAUCAAUCACAUUUUCCUUCUUCAAUGUGCGUCUACUUUACAAAUGUUAAUUGACUCCCGAUUUCUAUUGUGAAUUGUACUUACAUGUUUUAGAGUAUUUCGCCAAUAUACUUGGCGAGAAAACUAAAUUAAUAGCAGUUGCAGUAAUGUCCUUACUUCUCGCUAUUUAUUAUUUGUUUCGUUUGUUUAAACAAUGGUGCACAAAUUGAAGAAAUAAAAGUCGAGUAAGGCGAACUGCAUACGAUAGUCAAUCAUUAUGAAAGCAAAAGUUCAUGUACAAAUCACAUACGUGUAAGCAAUUAAUUCCAAAUUAUUAUACAGAUAGUACAUUACUUUAUCUUCAUUAUGUAAAUUUCAAUUGCAUACCGAUUACCCAGAAAUACCAGUAAACGAAAAUUGUUCGAAUGCGUUAUCUCUUUUUAUGCGCCAAGAUACUCACACAUCAGUAUGUGUCGAUAACAUUUUGUAGUGUGGUAAAACGGGUGUACUAAACGAUAGAAGGCAAAGAGGUGAAAUUAAUAUGGGACAACCGAAGAGCAAAUCAGAAAUAACGAACUGAAUAUACUUAUUCAGAA
This is a non-coding RNA of Schizosaccharomyces pombe (fission yeast), 1284 nucleotides long. The record is from the annotation of a GenBank genome assembly. Lineage: Eukaryota; Fungi; Ascomycota; Schizosaccharomycetes; Schizosaccharomycetales; Schizosaccharomycetaceae.